GAAGGUAUGAAACACUUUCUCAUGACUACUUUCAUUUCAGCCCAAGUUGAGAUGGGUCUCUCACCAUUUCUUCUUCGACUUGUCACGAGUUGGUCCCACCAUACUAUGGCAUAAUCCGAGAACUCAAUUGCCGCCAACUGUUCCCUUUUUUUCUUCGAAUAAUUAUGGCAUUCGCAGACUAACUCAAUUUUUUUCUCCCAC
RNAcentral lists this long non-coding RNA (201 nucleotides) under Gossypium raimondii (Peruvian cotton). RNAcentral's name for it is "long non-coding RNA (GRAI_LNC001391)". Lineage: Eukaryota; Viridiplantae; Streptophyta; Magnoliopsida; Malvales; Malvaceae. The record is from RNAcentral.